CCUACGGGAGGCUGCAGUGGGGAAUAUUGGGCAAUGGGCGCAAGCCUGACCCAGCAACGCCGCGUGAAGGAAGAAGGCUUUCGGGUUGUAAACUUCUUUUCUCAGGGACGAAGAAAGUGACGGUACCUGAGGCAUAAGUCACGGCUAACUACGUGCCAGCAGCCGCGGUAAUACGUAGGUGGCAAGCGUUAUCCGGAUUUACUGGGUGUAAAGGGCGUGUAGGCGGGACUGCAAGUCAGAUGUGAAAACCACGGGCUCAACCUGUGGCGUGCAGUUGAAACUGUAGUGCUUGAGUACUGGAGAGGCAGGCGGAAUUCCUGGUGUAGCGGUGAAAUGCGUAGAUAUUAGGAGGAACACCAGUGGCGAAGGCGGUCUGCUGGACAGCAACUGACGCUGAGGCGCGAAAGCGUGGGGAGCAAACAGGAUUAGAUACCCCUGUAGUC
This 443-nucleotide ribosomal RNA is filed under the name uncultured bacterium. RNAcentral describes it as "partial 16S ribosomal RNA". It matches the Rfam family "Bacterial small subunit ribosomal RNA", at positions 338 to 795 of the family's 1533-position model. The record is from RNAcentral.